Molecule: transfer RNA, 85 nt
Filed under: Felis catus (domestic cat)
Lineage: Eukaryota; Metazoa; Chordata; Mammalia; Carnivora; Felidae
Rfam family: tRNA
About the family: Transfer RNA (tRNA) molecules are approximately 80 nucleotides in length.
Source: Rfam by way of RNAcentral
GCCUGGGUGGCUCAGUCGGUGAAGCGCCAGACUUCGGCUCAGGUCAUGAUCUCAUGGUUGGUGGGUUCGAGUCCCACAUCGGGCU